ACGCUCGACACCUACGGGCAGCAGUAGGGAAUCUUCCACAAUGGACGCAAGUCUGAUGGAGCAACGCCGCGUGAGUGAAGAAGGUCUUCGGAUCGUAAAACUCUGUUGUUAGAGAAGAACACGAGUGAGAGUAACUGUUCAUUCGAUGACGGUAUCUAACCAGCAAGUCACGGCUAACUACGUGCCAGCAGCCGCGGUAAUCUGAGGCGGGCGUGGCGAAGGC
Molecule: ribosomal RNA, 223 nt
Filed under: uncultured bacterium
Lineage: Bacteria
Description: partial 16S ribosomal RNA
Rfam family: Bacterial small subunit ribosomal RNA
Source: RNAcentral